Non-coding RNA from Gasterosteus aculeatus aculeatus (three-spined stickleback), 2137 nucleotides. Lineage: Eukaryota; Metazoa; Chordata; Actinopteri; Perciformes; Gasterosteidae. The record is from RefSeq and is a predicted model, not a curated record.
UGAAUGAGUGCGGGCGGGGCGGUGCCAUUUCUUUUAGGAUUGACACUGCAUAUAUAAGCCAUGUGGUGGGUUGUUUGUUUCAACUGCUCUCCUGCAGCAUCAGGCAGCAUGACAACCCAAAGACGGAUUCUGGCAUUCUCUCUUUCACUGGCCUCAGUUUUUGGCACAGUGGAAUUGUUAAAGACCAAAGAAACUCAGACUUACACUUGCAGGACAUUUGGCAGCGGGAUCGUCCAGCCUUUUCAGGGGGAGAGUUAUUAUGUUCGGUCUGACUGCCCGUUCACACUCACAAGCUUCAACGUCAACCAGGGGGAAUAUUCUGUCACCAUACGGCGAGGUCCCAACGGGCUGUUGGUCCAAGUCGAGAUCAUCGUCAACAAAGUCACAACACUUUUGCAGGAUGGCAACGUUGUGGUGAAGAACAAAAGUGUUUCCGAUCCAUGCGACCAAAAAUACCAGCAAAUCUUUAAAUACGGCAUCUACACUAGACUGAAGAGCUCGCUGCUUCCUUUUAGUGUCACCUGGCACAGUGUAUGUGGGGGAAUAAACUCUCUGUGGGUAAGCAUAAUCAAUGACUUAAGUUAAUUGGAACACGUGGAAAACGUUGCAGGCCACAGGGACAAGUUGAUCAGAGACAGCAAGCUCCAUGACCACAAAUGUAAAACCAGCAGUCCUGUAUUGCAAAAAAACGAUAUAUGCCGUCAAUUCUUUCAAGAAAUCAAGGACUGUGUGCGAUACAACAAUUCUCACUAUCAGCAACUCUGUGAAGAGAACAUUUUUGGCUUUGAAAACAGCCAGAGCGUCUUCUGUCCUUUCUUCAAAGAAUUUGCAAGCCAGUGUAACCAAUCAAGAAUCAACCGAUUUUGGAGGGAUUUAACCAAAUGUGCAGAACCGAGGUGUCCAGGAGACCUGAUUUAUAGGGAAAAGGGUCCAGCAGUUAUUCCCAGCUGCUCCAACCCGAAACCUCCACCCUUCUACCAGGAACUCACUGAAAGCUGUGCCUGUCCAGAGGGUAACGUUUUGAAUAAUGGUGCAAAGGGCUAUCGCUGUAUUCCUUGGUCCAACUGCUCUUGUGAGUUUGCUGGCAAGAGUUACAGAAACGGAGAAAUACGACGUUCCAAGUGUCACUCAUGUACGUGUCAUGGUGUGGUAUGGCGAUGCUCAGAGAACUUUUGCCGCAGAAGAUGUGUCAUUGAAGGCCCGUUUGUGACAACAUUCGAUGGAAAACAACAUGUCCUCCCUCAAAAAUGUUCAUAUGUGGCUUCAAAGGGUCCCAACUGGAGAAUAAGAAUACAUUUUUCACGAAAAGGACUCUAUCUUAGAAAGGUUGUGGUCCGGUUCUCUGAGGAACUGUUUGUAUUCAAAGAGAACAAGGUUUUGUGGAAUGGGCAGGAGAUCACUAAAUUCCAUCAGUUCCAAGAAAAUUGUAAUGCUAAGAUUUACUGGGUGUCCUCCACGUUCCUCCAGGUCCACACAACCUCUGGGUUUUUUUUUCAAAUUCAGCUGUCCCCUGAAAUCCAGCUGUUCAUCGACGCACCCGACAACUCCAACUACAAGAUUGAAGGUCUUUGUGGCAAUAGCAACAAUAACACCACAGAUGACUUCAUCACCAAGAGCAGGAUCAUUGAGAACUCAGCUGAACCAUUUGCUCUCUCCUGGAGUUUGGGGAAUUGUCAAGGGAACAUACACACCAACUGCACCAAACGUGAAUAUGAGAAUUAUGCUCAUGAAAAGUGUGCAGUGUUGAACCAACCAACUGGGGUAUUUGCCCAGGGCCACCCUCAUAUCCCAACUGAUUACUACUAUGAGGCUUGCAUCCAAAGAAUAUGUAACUCUGGCAGGAGUCAGAAAGAGGCCUUGUGUAUUGGUCUUGCCAGCUACGCCAAAGCCUGCGCCGGUGUUGGUGUUGUAAUUGGUGACUGGAAGAAAAACAUGGGCUGUGCAUAAAGGUAAGCUGUAAACCGAGGGUGCAUGCACACAACAAUUGCUGUCAGGAGAAGACCUCGGAGACGAAAACACUUUCCGCAAUAUGCUACCACCCUGUGACCCACAGAAGAGAGGAAAAGACGUUCACCGACAAGCACGUCACCUCUGCAGACUGUGUGACACACAACACUGAAAUUCUUUUGUUAGCGCA